RNAcentral lists this ribosomal RNA (253 nucleotides) under uncultured bacterium. Its description in RNAcentral is "partial 16S ribosomal RNA". It matches the Rfam family "Bacterial small subunit ribosomal RNA", at positions 524 to 776 of the family's 1533-position model. The record is from RNAcentral.
UACGUAGGGUGCGAGCGUUAAUCGGAAUUACUGGGCGUAAAGAGUGCGCAGGCGGUGAGCUGUGUCCGAUGUGAAAGCCCCGGGCUCAACCUGGGAAUGGCAGUGGAUACUGGCAAGCUAGAGUGCGGUAGAGGGUAGUGGAAUUCCCGGUGUAGCAGUGAAAUGCGUAGAGAUCGGGAGGAACACCAGUGGCGAAGGCGGCUACCUGGACCAGCACUGACACUGAAGCACGAAAGCGUGGGGAGCAAACAGG